AAACACCCGGAAGCCGGUGGACCCUAACCCUUAGGUGGGAGGGAGCCGUCGAAGGUGGGGCUCGCGAUUGGGGUG
Molecule: ribosomal RNA, 75 nt
Filed under: uncultured bacterium
Lineage: Bacteria
Description: partial 16S ribosomal RNA
Source: RNAcentral